GGUUAAGCGACUAAGCGUACACGGUGGAUGCCCUGGCAGUCAGAGGCGAUGAAGGACGUGCUAAUCUGCGAUAAGCGUCGGUAAGGUGAUAUGAACCGUUAUAACCGGCGAUUUCCGAAUGGGGAAACCCAGUGUGAUUCGUCACACUAUCAUUAACUGAAUCCAUAGGUUAAUGAGGCGAACCGGGGGAACUGAAACAUCUAAGUACCCCGAGGAAAAGAAAUCAACCGAGAUUCCCCCAGUAGCGGCGAGCGAACGGGGAGCAGCCCAGAGCCUGAAUCAGUGUGUGUGUUAGUGGAAGCGUCUGGAAAGGCGCGCGAUACAGGGUGACAGCCCCGUACACAAAAAUGCACAUGCUGUGAGCUCGAUGAGUAGGGCGGGACACGUGGUAUCCUGUCUGAAUAUGGGGGGACCAUCCUCCAAGGCUAAAUACUCCUGACUGACCGAUAGUGAACCAGUACCGUGAGGGAAAGGCGAAAAGAACCCCGGCGAGGGGAGUGAAAAAGAACCUGAAACCGUGUACGUACAAGCAGUGGGAGCACGCUUAGGCGUGUGACUGCGUACCUUUUGUAUAAUGGGUCAGCGACUUAUAUUCUGUAGCAAGGUUAACCGAAUAGGGGAGCCGAAGGGAAACCGAGUCUUAACUGGGCGUUAAGUUGCAGGGUAUAGACCCGAAACCCGGUGAUCUAGCCAUGGGCAGGUUGAAGGUUGGGUAACACUAACUGGAGGACCGAACCGACUAAUGUUGAAAAAUUAGCGGAUGACUUGUGGCUGGGGGUGAAAGGCCAAUCAAACCGGGAGAUAGCUGGUUCUCCCCGAAAGCUAUUUAGGUAGCGCCUCGUGAAUUCAUCUCCGGGGGUAGAGCACUGUUUCGGCAAGGGGGUCAUCCCGACUUACCAACCCGAUGCAAACUACGAAUACCGGAGAAUGUUAUCACGGGAGACACACGGCGGGUGCUAACGUCCGUCGUGAAGAGGGAAACAACCCAGACCGCCAGCUAAGGUCCCAAAGUCAUGGUUAAGUGGGAAACGAUGUGGGAAGGCCCAGACAGCCAGGAUGUUGGCUUAGAAGCAGCCAUCAUUUAAAGAAAGCGUAAUAGCUCACUGGUCGAGUCGGCCUGCGCGGAAGAUGUAACGGGGCUAAACCAUGCACCGAAGCUGCGGCAGCGACGCUUAUGCGUUGUUGGGUAGGGGAGCGUUCUGUAAGCCUGCGAAGGUGUGCUGUGAGGCAUGCUGGAGGUAUCAGAAGUGCGAAUGCUGACAUAAGUAACGAUAAAGCGGGUGAAAAGCCCGCUCGCCGGAAGACCAAGGGUUCCUGUCCAACGUUAAUCGGGGCAGGGUGAGUCGACCCCUAAGGCGAGGCCGAAAGGCGUAGUCGAUGGGAAACAGGUUAAUAUUCCUGUACUUGGUGUUACUGCGAAGGGGGGACGGAGAAGGCUAUGUUGGCCGGGCGACGGUUGUCCCGGUUUAAGCGUGUAGGCUGGUUUUCCAGGCAAAUCCGGAAAAUCAAGGCUGAGGCGUGAUGACGAGGCACUACGGUGCUGAAGCAACAAAUGCCCUGCUUCCAGGAAAAGCCUCUAAGCAUCAGGUAACAUCAAAUCGUACCCCAAACCGACACAGGUGGUCAGGUAGAGAAUACCAAGGCGCUUGAGAGAACUCGGGUGAAGGAACUAGGCAAAAUGGUGCCGUAACUUCGGGAGAAGG
RNAcentral lists this ribosomal RNA (1703 nucleotides) under Escherichia coli. Its description in RNAcentral is "partial 23S ribosomal RNA". It matches the Rfam family "Bacterial large subunit ribosomal RNA", at positions 1 to 1746 of the family's 2925-position model. The record is from RNAcentral. Lineage: Bacteria; Pseudomonadati; Pseudomonadota; Gammaproteobacteria; Enterobacterales; Enterobacteriaceae.